Molecule: ribosomal RNA, 491 nt
Filed under: uncultured bacterium
Lineage: Bacteria
Description: partial 16S ribosomal RNA
Rfam family: Bacterial small subunit ribosomal RNA
Source: RNAcentral
GAUGAACGCUGGCUACAGGCUUAACACAUGCAAGUCGAGGGGAAACGACGGGGAAGCUUGCUUCCCCGGGCGUCGACCGGCGCACGGGUGAGUAACGCGUAUCCAACCUGCCUCUGACUGAGGGAUAACCCGUCGAAAGUCGGCCUAAUACCUCAUGGCAUCGUCUGCGGGCAUCCAACGACGAUUAAAGAUUUCAUCGGUCAGGGAUGGGGAUGCGUCUGAUUAGCUUGUUGGCGGGGUAACGGCCCACCAAGGCUACGAUCAGUAGGGGUUCUGAGAGGAAGGUCCCCCACAUUGGAACUGAGACACGGUCCAAACGACUACGGGAGGCAGCAGUGAGGAAGAUGGGUCAAUGGGCGGGAGCCUGAACCAGCCAAGUAGCGUGCAGGAUGACGGCCCUAUGGGUUGUAAACUGCUUUUAUGCGGGGAUAAAGUGAGGGACGUGUCCUUCAUUGCAGGUACCGCAUGAAUAAGGACCGGCUAAUUCCGUG